GUGCAUACCCAACAAUAAUUGAAACUAGUAUACUACUGAUGCAGAAAUGUGUUGAUGAAACACCAUAGAAAUUGCAGAAGAAAUUGUGUAAAUCAGAAAUUAGAACAUUUCAAAUAAAUGGAAAAGGGGUGGAUUUUCACCAAAUGGGUGGGUUUAAGGACUAAAAAUUUGGGAAAAUAAGGAAGUUUCUCCAUUUUACACCAAACAGUAAAAGUAACUCCAAUUUGAUUAAAGUUUUAGAAGUACAAAAACGACACUAUAAAAACAAUAGAAGAAAUAUAUGUGAGUAUUAAUGCAUUCUUGGGAAUGGGGUGUGCUUUCUAUCAUACUCAAGGCAGAAAUAAUAAAGAAAAGGAUUGAUUGAUUUUUCUACAUAACAUUACAAUUUUACAUGUAAAGGACGAAUAAAAUUAUAAUGCAAUCAACAGAUAGAAAAACAGCUAUACAUGUAUGACAGCCCAAGGAUUGAUAGGCUGAGUAUAUAAAGAGUUCCUGCAAACCAAUUUAAAAUCACACAAAUGAAAAAUGGAAAGAACGUGCAAAAGCAAUCCAUAAAGGAAACGCGUCUGCCACGAGUAAAGUAUUAGAGGGACUCUCCCAAAUAAAGAGAUACAUGGACAUAGGCUUUAUGACUGUUUUUUGGGUAAUUUUAUGAUCUCCCCAGUCCCAUUCUUGGUUCUUGAAUGGUUAAAUUUGUCAGUUAAAUGUGCAGGAGUAAAGAAAGAUUUUCACUGAUGAAAUGCGAAAUAUGAUAAUGUGAUGAAGCCACAUUUUCACUGGGCUUCCAUUGAGCCAAUAUUACACUUACAAGUAGCUUGAGCUAAGAACGCAGACCAUGAACACAAGAUAGGUAAAAGUUCCUUGGCUUUUCCAGCCUGGAAUCCAUGGUUUUGUCUUCAUUUACAUAGUUGUCCUAAGUUCUUGAAGUAAGCAGCCACAGACGCUGGACAUUGUCUUCCAUCUCUUUUGACACAGGGAUCAGGUGUGUGGAGGCAGGUCAGUGGAGUGGUCAAAGAGGAGGAUCUAGACUACUCUAGAGUCAGGGCCACCUGACUUGGAAUGCUGGCUCACAAUUUACAGUCUGAGUUCUUAACCUCUCUGAGCCUUACUUUCCCAAUUGUAAAAUAGGGAUAAGACUAGUACCUACCUUAUAAAGUUGCUGUGAAUAUUUAAUAUGAUUAUACCUAUGAAGCACUUAGCAUUGUGGCUGAUGCAUAGGAACAACUCAGUAAUUGUUGGCUAUUAUCUUCAUUAUGGGCAAAGAAGUUUAAAUCUCUUCCUUCUGGAUAAAAAUGCCCUCAAAUAUCAAAGGAUGAUUUAGUUACCCCUUAUGUGGAAUUCAUGUGCUACCUUGGGAAAAAUAUAGUUCUUGGCAUUAGAAGAUCUGAUCCUAGUCCCAACUCUGCCUCUAACUAACGUCAGCAAUCACAUCACUACCCUGGGCCUCAGUUUACUGAUCUGCUAAAUAAAGUAGUUGAAUUACCUAUUGCUGUACCCCUUUCUGUGCAACAUUCUGCCCCAGAGAAAUACAAAACAGCACAUAAAUCAUGGUCUUUAAAUAUAGCUGUGUCUACAGUAGGUAAUAAUGAGAGUCUUUGAGCUAAUAGAAGUCAUAGUUUUUAAAGCCUAAAGGGAAGUGUGUAUUAAUUUGCUAAACAGCUGGAAUUACAUCAAUCUAUUAUACCACUGAUUAUGGAUUAUGUCAUGUCAAUCAGAAGCUCUAAUUGGCAGUUAAGUAUCUUUGAUUAAUUUUUUUAGUUACUUAAUAAAAGGUGUUCAUUUAGUGUGCUACAAAUCAUAAAGAGCUCUUUAGGUGAAAAGUUUGCAAAUCACUAGGCUGUGGGCUUAGUAUCAGUGAAGAUAUCCCAACCACUAACAGCUUCAUAGGAAAGCCAAAGUCGACACUCAUUUACUCUACAGAGCAUGUAACAGUAGUAACAAGGAAGUUACCCAAUAGUGUUGGGUAUUUAUAGUGAGCUGGGAACUUUCCAAAUCUAUGUGGAUUAUCUCCUUUAAUCCUCACAACCAUCUGUUUAUUUCCACUUCAAAAAUAAGAAAAUUGAAACUUCAGAAUGGGACCUAUUGUCAUCUCCAGAAUUAGAUGAAUCUCCAGAAUUGCAGUGUUUCAAGAGUAAAGGAAUCUACAAAAAAUAGUUUGAAAAUAUUUGAAAUUAAAC
This 2177-nucleotide long non-coding RNA is filed under the name Equus caballus (horse). RNAcentral's name for it is "lncRNA (ENSECAG00000045882.1)". Lineage: Eukaryota; Metazoa; Chordata; Mammalia; Perissodactyla; Equidae. The record is from RNAcentral.